AUAAUCUAUUUCUUAAUCACAUUAGGAUGAAGUUUCAGAACAGAAAUACCGGAAAGUUUAAUAGAUACACACCAGUUUUAAGGAUAAGUUUCACAUACACACGAGAAAUUAUUGAGGGCAAGCAGCAUGCAUCCAGAGCAACUCUCUAUAUGCUUAAUUUCUCAGGCCUUUCGGCACACAUCUCCAUCGCACGUCCAUCCCUCCUUUCCCUUUUCAGCCUCGCCUUUUUCCUCUUUCUUUAAAGCACACUUGGGGUGGAGAUCAAAGUCGCAUUGCCUACAAUAGAAAGAGUAGAGGUAUCCCAUCUCCCUACAGCCAUUGCACACAUAUCCACUGCGUUUUGUGCGAGUAAGCUCGUGCUGAGAAUGAAGUUCAUGUUUCAGCUUCUCAGGCCACGCCUUUGCUGUUUCCUCCAGCUUUUCUUCUAGUUGCUUCAGGUGAUCUUCAGUGAAUGGAUAUGCAUCUGCUCCAUAAGCUGCUAGGUGUUCUCUUGCUUCCUUAGUUAUUGUCUGCCCUUUGGGGCUGAUGGCUAUGGCUGCAGGAAUACCUUUUAUUUUGAAUUUUCGUUGCAGGAUUGUUUUCCUUUCAUCACCAAAUGGAAGAGCUAACCAAGGCAUUUCUGAAUAGAAUUCAUCGAACGAAGAUUGAUCGCGGUCACUUGAGAUGAAGAUUACCUCAAAUGCAUUGUCCUUCGCCUUGAUUUCAUGGUAUGCUUCAAUUAGCUUGGGUAAAAAGGCUCGACAGGGUGGGCACCAUUUUGCUGAGAAAUAGAGGAGAACAUUCUUUCCAACUAGUUCUGAUACAGCAACCUUGGAACCGCUCUUUUCUAUCACAAAAUCUUUAUCUCCAUGAACCAAAACAGACUCUAGUGUCUGUGCUUCAAGUCUUGCCUUCUCAAUCUCAGCAAGUUCAACCAACUUUUCUGGUGUAAAUGGGUAGGCUUCAAUGCCAUGAUCUUCAAUAAGCUCAGCUACAUUUGGGUUCAAAGUCUUUCCAUCUUGCCCAAUUAUGACCAGAGUAGGAAGGGCUCUGAGCUCAAAGUAACGUGCUAAUUUCUCACGGCACUUGUCCUCAAAUGGUAUUGCUAACCAAGGGAUUGUUUCAAGACUUUGCUUGAAUUCCUUCUCAUCAUAGUCUAUAGAUAUCAGCACCACCUCAAAGUUCUCUCCUUUCUCCUUGAGCUUUUUAUAUACAUCCACAAGUUUGGGAGUGAAUUCGAGGCAUCGCCGGUGAGAAGCAACUGAGAAGUACAAACCUACCAUUUUCCCUUCAAUCUCAGACACUGCAACCUUCGUUCCAUCCUUUGAAAUCAGAUAAUCGCGCGAGCUUGAAACCAAGAUGGAGCUCAAGGUCUGAUUCUUCUUAGCAUUCUCUUCUUCCUGUCUAAAAUAGUCAAGUCUUUCAGGGGUAAAUGGAUACCCCUCAGCUCCAUAGUCCCUGACGAUCUUGACCCCUUGAUCACAAGAAACCUUCCCAUCAGUGUCAAGAAUGACAAGACUAGGAAUCCCCCUCACUUUAAACAACUCCUUAAGGCGUUUUCGGAUUUCCUGAUCAGAAAAUGGAAUGGCAAGCCAAGGCAUUUUGGAGAAGUAACCAUUGAAAGAUUCAUCAUCCCUAUCAGAAGAAAUGAAAACUACUUCAAAAUCGCCUUUUGAUGAGAGCUUCUCAUAGACUUCCACCAAGUUUGGUGUGAAAUGUCGACAUGGUCCACACCAUGAGGCAGAGAAAUAUAAUCCCACAAUCUUUCCAACCAAGCUGCUGAUCUUAACCUGAUCGCCGUUGUUACGGAUCAGAAAGUCUCUGUCUUCUGCGGAGAGAAGUGAAAACAGAUCAUGAGAAACAUCACCAACGAGCUCGUUAGCCAUUUUUUUCUCGCAGGAACAAUAGGUAGACUUGGUAUGCGGGUUGAUUCUUCUUUCCUAUAAGACAAUGAAAUAUAAUAUUUUUAUUCUUUGGUUUAUCCGCUGGAUUGCUAAGUAA
This 1980-nucleotide unclassified non-coding RNA is filed under the name Hevea brasiliensis (rubber tree). Lineage: Eukaryota; Viridiplantae; Streptophyta; Magnoliopsida; Malpighiales; Euphorbiaceae. The record is from RNAcentral.